Molecule: transfer RNA, 65 nt
Filed under: Chromatomyia horticola (garden pea leafminer)
Lineage: Eukaryota; Metazoa; Arthropoda; Insecta; Diptera; Agromyzidae
Description: tRNA-Ile
Source: RNAcentral
AGUAAAUUGCCUGAUUAAAGGAGUACCUUGAUAGGGUAAAUCAUGAAAUAAAAUUUCAUUUACUA